AUGAAGAAGAUCAAGAGUGGAAAAGAGCUAGUGGAAGAAGUAAGGAAGAUUGAGAAGAACAUCAAAGCUGGUAGCACUAUUUCUUCACAGCUUGAGCUGAGCAAUUCUGGGAUUCCCCUUUAUACAUGUGAGGUUCCAAUACCAUCACAUCCAGCUGAGCAAGAUAGCAAGUGCUUUGAGCAAGAGAUACCUCACAUUGAAGAAGAUGAACUAGAAGACAAGGAACAAGAUGAUCAAGAGCUGCAAUUCCCAAGUAAUCAAGUUGAAGACUCAUCAUCUACUACUCCUGAAGAAGUAAAAAAGCUGCUGUAG
This 312-nucleotide ribosomal RNA is filed under the name Triticum aestivum (bread wheat). Its description in RNAcentral is "partial small subunit ribosomal RNA". Lineage: Eukaryota; Viridiplantae; Streptophyta; Magnoliopsida; Poales; Poaceae. The record is from RNAcentral.